Molecule: ribosomal RNA, 1501 nt
Filed under: Metamycoplasma alkalescens 14918
Lineage: Bacteria; Bacillati; Mycoplasmatota; Mycoplasmoidales; Metamycoplasmataceae
Description: bacterial SSU rRNA
Rfam family: Bacterial small subunit ribosomal RNA
Source: RNAcentral
AGAGUUUGAUCCUGGCUCAGGAUGAACGCUGGCUGUGUGCCUAAUACAUGCAUGUCGAGCGAGGUUUUUUAAACCUAGCGGCGAAUGGGUGAGUAACACGUGCUUAAUCUACCCUUUAGAUUGGAAUACCCAAUGGAAACAUUGGCUAAUGCCGGAUACGCAUAAAAUCGCAUGAUUUUGUUGUGAAAGGAGCCUUUAAAGCUCCGCUAGAGGAUGAGGGUGCGGAACAUUAGUUAGUUGGUAGGGUAAUGGCCUACCAAGACUAUGAUGUUUAGCCGGGUCGAGAGACUGAACGGCCACAUUGGGACUGAGAUACGGCCCAAACUCCUACGGGAGGCAGCAGUAGGGAAUAUUCCACAAUGAGCGAAAGCUUGAUGGAGCGACACAGCGUGCACGAUGAAGGUCUUCGGAUUGUAAAGUGCUGUUAUAGGGAAAGAAAACUUGGUUGAGGAAAUGCUUCCAAGCUGACGGUACCCUGUCAGAAAGCGAUGGCUAACUAUGUGCCAGCAGCCGCGGUAAUACAUAGGUCGCAAGCGUUAUCCGGAAUUAUUGGGCGUAAAGCGUUUGUAGGCUGUUUAUUAAGUCUGGAGUUAAAUCCCAGGGCUCAACCCUGGUUCGCUUUGGAUACUGGUAAACUAGAGUUGGAUAGAGGUAAGCGGAAUUCCAUGUGAAGCGGUGAAAUGCGUAGAUAUAUGGAAGAACACCAAAGGCGAAGGCAGCUUACUGGGUCUAUACUGACGCUGAGGGACGAAAGCGUGGGGAGCAAACAGGAUUAGAUACCCUGGUAGUCCACGCCGUAAACGAUGAUCAUUAGUCGGUGGAGAAUUCACUGACGCAGCUAACGCAUUAAAUGAUCCGCCUGAGUAGUAUGCUCGCAAGAGUGAAACUUAAAGGAAUUGACGGGGACCCGCACAAGCGGUGGAGCAUGUGGUUUAAUUUGAAGAUACGCGGAGAACCUUACCCACUCUUGACAUCCUUCGCAAAGCUAUAGAGAUAUAGUUGAGGUUAACGGAGUGACAGAUGGUGCAUGGUUGUCGUCAGCUCGUGUCGUGAGAUGUUUGGUCAAGUCCUGCAACGAGCGCAACCCCUAUCUUUAGUUACUAACGAGUCAUGUCGAGGACUCUAGAGAUACUGCCUGGGUAACUGGGAGGAAGGUGGGGAUGACGUCAAAUCAUCAUGCCUCUUACGAGUGGGGCAACACACGUGCUACAAUGGUCGGUACAAAGAGAAGCGAUAUGGCGACAUGGAGCAAAUCUCAAAAAGCCGAUCUCAGUUCGGAUUGGAGUCUGCAAUUCGACUCCAUGAAGUCGGAAUCGCUAGUAAUCGCAGAUCAGCUACGCUGCGGUGAAUACGUUCUCGGGUCUUGUACACACCGCCCGUCACACCAUGGGAGCUGGUAAUACCCGAAGUCGGUUAGCUAACCUCGGAGGCGACCGCCUAAGGUAGGACUGGUGACUGGGGUGAAGUCGUAACAAGGUAUCCCUACGAGAACGUGGGGAUG